This 397-nucleotide ribosomal RNA is filed under the name uncultured bacterium. RNAcentral's name for it is "partial 16S ribosomal RNA". It matches the Rfam family "Bacterial small subunit ribosomal RNA", at positions 523 to 918 of the family's 1533-position model. The record is from RNAcentral.
AUACGUAGGGGGCGAGCGUUGUCCGGAAUGAUUGGGCGUAAAGGGCGCGUAGGCGGCCCGGUAAGUCUGGAGUGAAAGUCCUGUUUUUAAGAUGGGAAUUGCUUUGGAUACUGUCGGGCUUGAGUGCAGGAGAGGUAAGUGGAAUUCCCAGUGUAGCGGUGAAAUGCGUAGAGAUUGGGAGGAACACCAGUGGCGAAGGCGACUUACUGGACUAUAACUGACGCUGAGGCGCGAAAGCGUGGGGAGCGAACAGGAUUAGAUACCCUGGUAGUCCACGCGGUAAACGAUGAAUGCUAGGUGUUGCGGGUAUCGACCCCUGCAGUGCCGGAGUAAACACAAUAAGCAUUCCGCCUGGGGAGUACGGCCGCAAGGUUGAAACUCAAAGGAAUUGACGGGG